AACGAACGCUGGCGGCAGGCCUAACACAUGCAAGUCGAACGAGAAGCCACCUUCGGGUGGUGGACAGUGGCAGACGGGUGAGUAACGCGUGGGAACGUGCCUUUCGGUUCGGGACAACCCAGGGAAACUUGGGCUAAUACCGGAUACGCCCUUCGGGGAAGGAUUCAUUGCCGAAAGAUCGGCCCGGCGUCGGAUUAGCUAGUUGGUGGGGUAAAAGGACCUACCAAGGCGACGAUCCGUAGCUGGUCUGAGAGGANGACCAGCCACACU
Molecule: ribosomal RNA, 270 nt
Filed under: uncultured bacterium
Lineage: Bacteria
Description: partial 16S ribosomal RNA
Rfam family: Bacterial small subunit ribosomal RNA
Source: RNAcentral